Molecule: ribosomal RNA, 492 nt
Filed under: uncultured bacterium
Lineage: Bacteria
Description: partial 16S ribosomal RNA
Rfam family: Bacterial small subunit ribosomal RNA
Source: RNAcentral
AGUGAACGCUGGCGGUAGGCCUAACACAUGCAAGUCGAACGGCAGCACAGUAAGAGCUUGCUCUUACGGGUGGCGAGUGGCGGACGGGUGAGGAAUACAUCGGAAUCUACUUUUUCGUGGGGGAUAACGUAGGGAAACUUACGCUAAUACCGCAUACGACCUACGGGUGAAAGCAGGGGAUCUUCGGACCUUGCGCGAUUGAAUGAGCCGAUGUCGGAUUAGCUAGUUGGCGGGGUAAAGGCCCACCAAGGCGACGAUCCGUAGCUGGUCUGAGAGGAUGAGCAGCCACACUGGAACUGAGACACGGUACAGACUCAUACGGGAGGCAGCAGUGGGGAAUAUUGGACAAUGGGCGCAAGCCUGAUCAAGCCAUACCGCGUGGGUGAAGAAGGCCUUCGGGUUGUAAAGCUCUUUUGUUGGGAAAGAAAAGAAGAAGGUUAAUAACCCGCUGUUCUGACGGUACCCAAAGAAUAAGCACCGGAUAACUUCGUG